This 157-nucleotide ribosomal RNA is filed under the name Eyprepocnemis plorans. Its description in RNAcentral is "partial 12S ribosomal RNA". Lineage: Eukaryota; Metazoa; Arthropoda; Insecta; Orthoptera; Acrididae. The record is from RNAcentral.
UAAUUGAUAUUGGCUCUGAGGUGUGUACACAUCGCCCGUCGCUCUCAUUAUUGAAUUAUUUGCUUUAAUAUUAAUAUUUGAAUUGGGCAUGAUUCAAAUUAGAUGAGAUAAGUCGUAACAUAGUAGAUGUACUGGAAAGUGUAUCUAGUAAGAGGUU